Molecule: unclassified non-coding RNA, 191 nt
Filed under: uncultured Mucoromycotina
Lineage: Eukaryota; Fungi
Description: sequence contains ITS1
Source: RNAcentral
AAAUAAAAGUGAAAUUUUUAUGGCACUUUUAAAACAAUCCAUAUCCACCUUGUGUGCAAUGUUUUUUGAGAAAAAAAAAACAGUCUCUUUAUUGAGAAGUGUUCUUUUUUCUCUUUUAACUUAUUAUAAACUCAUUUUUAUAAGAAAUCACGUCUGAUAAUAAUAUUAUUGAAUAACUUAAUUCAUAAAUA